RNAcentral lists this ribosomal RNA (255 nucleotides) under uncultured bacterium. RNAcentral's name for it is "partial small subunit ribosomal RNA". It matches the Rfam family "Bacterial small subunit ribosomal RNA", at positions 26 to 291 of the family's 1533-position model. The record is from RNAcentral.
AGGACGAACGCUUGCGGCGUGCCUAAGAAAUGCAAGUCGAGCGGGGGAGCAAUCCCUAGCGGCGAACGGUCGCGUAACACGUAAGCAACCUGCCCGAAAGACCGGGACAACAGCUCGAAAGGGCUGCUAAUACCGGAUGUGUCCACUUUGCCUCAUGGCUUAGUGAGUAAAUCAUUUAUGGCUUUCGGAGGGGCUUGCGGCCUAUCAGCUAGAUGGCGGUGUAACGGACCACCAUGGCGACGACGGGUAGCUGGU